RNAcentral lists this ribosomal RNA (639 nucleotides) under Thraustochytriidae sp. SW2. Its description in RNAcentral is "bacterial SSU rRNA". It matches the Rfam family "Eukaryotic small subunit ribosomal RNA", at positions 330 to 959 of the family's 1831-position model. The record is from RNAcentral. Lineage: Eukaryota; Bigyra; Thraustochytrida; Thraustochytriidae.
UCCCUAUAGGGGCGAAUUGGGGCCCGGACGGUCGCAGGCUCCCCGGGCCCGCCAUGGCGGCCCGCGGGAAUUCGAUUCUGAGAGACGGCUACCACAUCCAAGGAAAGGCAGCAGGCGCGCAAAUUACCCAAUCCUGACACAGGGAGGUAGUGACAAGAAAUAACAAAGCAAGCUCUUACUGAGUUUUGCUAUUGGAAUGAGUAGAAUUUAAAUCUCUUUUCGACUAUCAAUUGGAGGGCAAGUCUGGUGCCAGCAGCCGCGGCAAUUCCAGCUCCAAUAGCGUAUAUUAAAGUUGUUGCGGUUAAAAAGCUCGUAGUUGGAUUUCUGCUUUGCGAGGCCGGUCACCACUACGUGGUUGUAUCUGGUUCUAGCAGGGCAUCCUCGUCAAAAUGGUUACUGUGCUUGAUUGCAUGGUGCUGUGUUGGCGACUUUUACUUUGAGGAAAUUAGAGUGUUCACGGCAGGCAAUCGCCCUGAAUAUAUUAGCAUGGAAUAAUAAUAUAGGAUCUGAUGCCUAUUUUGUUGGUUUCUAGGUGUUAGAUAAUGAUUAAUAGGGACAAUUGGGGGCAUUCGUAUUAAGGCGUCAGAGGUGGAAUUUCUUGGAUUGCCUUAAAAACGAACUACUGCGAAAGCAUUUGCC